Molecule: non-coding RNA, 555 nt
Organism: Coturnix japonica (Japanese quail)
Lineage: Eukaryota; Metazoa; Chordata; Aves; Galliformes; Phasianidae
Source: RefSeq, a predicted model, not a curated record
GAAACAAAAUAAGAAAAAGAUAAACUGUUCUAAAACAUGUUGUAAGCCUUUGAGGAAAUAGAGGUGAAAUCACCUUUCAUUUCUACUGAGAAAAAUAUCCCAUAUGACCUGAUUAGGUACAAAGUUCUCUAUCUAAGAUCUGAGGUCAAAUAGAAUAUUUAGAGCUUUAUGAUAUCACAGAAUGACCGAAUCACAGGGUUUGGAAGCGACCUCCAGAGAUCAUCAAGUCCCACCCCCCUGCCAAAGCAGGUUCCCUACACCAGGUCUCACAGACUUUGGCUGGCUCCCUGUGCUGCUAUGAAAAUUUUUUGCAUCCAUCUCACUCAGAGGGAAACAGCAGGAUCAAACUUCUCUGUAAAAGGCCUUUUCAUCUGCAAGCACAGAAUUCUGUGCUUGUCUUCGUUGAAUUUCAUGAGUUUCACAUUCUGUAAAUCUGUAAGCAAGAAAAUUGCAGGGGUGAUUUUGCUGCUGCAUUGACUGCGUAUAUAUUCUUGGUAAGCAUUCUUGUUUAUCACAGAUGAUUAAGUUAAUUAUAAUUAGAAGUAUCUUAACGAG